This 70-nucleotide transfer RNA is filed under the name Dipodomys ordii (Ord's kangaroo rat). It matches the Rfam family "tRNA". From Rfam's summary of the family: Transfer RNA (tRNA) molecules are approximately 80 nucleotides in length. Lineage: Eukaryota; Metazoa; Chordata; Mammalia; Rodentia; Heteromyidae. The record is from Rfam by way of RNAcentral.
GGGAAUGUGGCUCAGUGGUAGAGUGCUUGCCUAGCAUGCAGAAAGCCCUGGGUUCGAUUCCUCAGUACCA